This 496-nucleotide ribosomal RNA is filed under the name uncultured bacterium. Its description in RNAcentral is "partial 16S ribosomal RNA". It matches the Rfam family "Bacterial small subunit ribosomal RNA", at positions 30 to 523 of the family's 1533-position model. The record is from RNAcentral.
AUUGAACGCUGGCGGAAUGCUUUACACAUGCAAGUCGAACGGUAGAGGGGGCGACCCCUCGAGAGUGGCGAACGGGUGAGUAAUAUAUCGGAACGUGCCCAGUCGUGGGGGAUAACGUAGCGAAAGUUACGCUAAUACCGCAUACGAUCUAAGGAUGAAAGCGGGGGAUCGCAAAACCUCGCGCGAUUGGAGCGGCCGAUAUCAGAUUAGGUAGUUGGUGGGGUAAAGGCUCACCAAGCCAACGAUCUGUAGCUGGUCUGAGAGGACGACCAGCCACACUGGAACUGAGACACGGUCCAGACUCCUACGGGAGGCAGCAGUGGGGAAUUUUGGACAAUGGACGCAAGUCUGAUCCAGCCAUUCCGCGUGCAGGAUGAAGGCCCUCGGGUUGUAAACUGCUUUUGUACGGAACGAAAAGGUCUCUCUUAAUACGGGGGGCUCAUGACGGUACCGUAAGAAUAAGCACCGGCUAACUACGUGCCAGCCGCCGCAGUAA